This 18-nucleotide unclassified non-coding RNA is filed under the name Chlamydomonas reinhardtii. Its description in RNAcentral is "small RNA Cre_1140". Lineage: Eukaryota; Viridiplantae; Chlorophyta; Chlorophyceae; Chlamydomonadales; Chlamydomonadaceae. The record is from RNAcentral.
CCUACCUGCGGGAGCAGU